Long non-coding RNA from Uranotaenia lowii, 512 nucleotides. RefSeq lists it as uncharacterized. NCBI's taxonomy places the organism in Eukaryota, Metazoa, Arthropoda, Insecta, Diptera, Culicidae. The transcript has 2 exons. The record is from RefSeq and is a predicted model, not a curated record.
ACAAUAGUAGAGCAAAAUUAUUAAGACAUGCGAAAAUUGAUAGAAUCUUUCAAGAUUCAAUGUACGUUAACGUAGUACGUUAAUAAUAGUAAAAGUAAAUUUCAAAAAAUAUUCUACUGUUCAGCUGUGAGAAAGUGAUCAUAAUAAUUUAAUAUUACUCAUGCAUGAGUUUAUAACCUGAAUUAGUAAAAAAGGUUUGUGUGGAUUCUAAACAUCUUCUCUCUUUGAAAUUUCAAGGUGAAAAUGUGUAACAGAUCGAGAAAUCCACCCAACAGUGAUCGACAAACUUCCAACAACAACAGACCGCAGGAAAUCGUAAGGCCAAUUGCACAACGCCCUGUUGCCAACAAUGCCGCAAACCGUGUGCAGCCACCAGCGGCCGAUAAUCCGGCUGUCUGGGGGUCACAUUUUCGAAACCGUGAACAUUUCUUGAGCCUCCACAACGCUUGAUUGGCGUUUGUGUAGAGAGCAGAAACAUGUUUACUACGAAAUAAACCUAGAAAAUUUGAAAA